This 453-nucleotide ribosomal RNA is filed under the name uncultured bacterium. Its description in RNAcentral is "bacterial SSU rRNA". It matches the Rfam family "Bacterial small subunit ribosomal RNA", at positions 28 to 524 of the family's 1533-position model. The record is from RNAcentral.
GAUGAACGCUGGCGGCGUGCUUAAUACAUGCAAGUCGAGCGGUAACACUUCGGGUGACGAGCGGCGGACGGCUGAGUAACGCGUAGGAACCUACCCCAGACUGAGGGAUAAGCAUCAGAAAUGGUGUCUAAUACCGCAUACGCUCUUCGGAGUAAAGCUUCGGCGGUUUGGGAAGGGCCUGCGUAUGAUUAGCUUGUUGGUGAGGUAACGGCUCACCAAGGCGACGAUCAUUAGCUGGUCUGAGAGGAUGAUCAGCCAGACUGGGACUGAGACACGGCCCAGACUCCUACGGGAGGCAGCAGUAGGGAAUUUUCCACAAUGGGCGCAAGCCUGAUGGAGCAACGCCGCGUGCAGGAUGAAGGCUUUCGGGUCGUAACUGCUUUUCUGAUUGAAGAUUGUGACGGUAGGUCAGGAAUAAGGGUCGGCUAACUACGUGCCAGCCGCCGCGGUAAU